UUUGAACGCCGGGCCAGGAGCCUGUGGAAUACGGAUGGGGUAGUCUGUAUCCGUAUUUAUUUGUGUUAAAGGGUCCGUAGGCGGACUUAUAAUUCAGUGGUGAAAGCCUGGCGCUUAACGAUAGAACUUCCAUUGAUACUGUAAGUCUUGAGUAUAUUUGAGGUAGCUGGAAUAAGUAGUGUAGCGGUGAAAUGCAUAGAUAUUACUUAGAACACCAAUUGCGAAGGCAGGUUACCAAGAUAUAACUGACGCUGAGGGACGAAAGCGUGGGGAGCGAACAGGAUUAGAUACCCGUGUAGUC
This 301-nucleotide ribosomal RNA is filed under the name uncultured Peptoniphilus sp. RNAcentral's name for it is "bacterial SSU rRNA". It matches the Rfam family "Bacterial small subunit ribosomal RNA", at positions 495 to 795 of the family's 1533-position model. Lineage: Bacteria; Bacillati; Bacillota; Tissierellia; Tissierellales; Peptoniphilaceae. The record is from RNAcentral.